RNAcentral lists this ribosomal RNA (253 nucleotides) under uncultured bacterium. RNAcentral's name for it is "partial 16S ribosomal RNA". It matches the Rfam family "Bacterial small subunit ribosomal RNA", at positions 524 to 776 of the family's 1533-position model. The record is from RNAcentral.
UACGUAGGGUGCGAGCGUUAAUCGGAAUUACUGGGCGUAAAGCGCACGUAGGUGGCUUGAUAAGUUGGGUGUGAAAUCCCCGAGCUUAACUUGGGAAUUGCAUUCAAGACUGUCUUGCUAGAGUGUGGAAGAGGGAAGCGGAAUUCCAGGUGUAGCGGUGAAAUGCGUAGAUAUCUGGAGGAACAUCAGUGGCGAAGGCGGCUUCCUGGUCCAACACUGACACUGAGGUGCGAAAGCGUGGGGAGCAAACAGG